UACGGAGGGUGCUAGCGUUGUUCGGAAUUACUGGGCGUAAAGGGCGCGUAGGCGGCCGUUUGCGUCGGAUGUGAAAGCCCGGGGCUCAACCCUCGGAACGGCAUUCGAUACGGGACGGCUGGAGACCGGGAGAGGAGAGUGGAAUAGCCAGUGUAGAGGUGAAAUUCGUAGAUAUUCGGCAGAACACCGGUGGCGAAAGGCGG
RNAcentral lists this ribosomal RNA (203 nucleotides) under uncultured bacterium. Its description in RNAcentral is "partial 16S ribosomal RNA". It matches the Rfam family "Bacterial small subunit ribosomal RNA", at positions 524 to 724 of the family's 1533-position model. The record is from RNAcentral.